GAUGAACGCUGGCGGUGUGCCUAAUACAUGCAAGUCGAGCGAACAGACGAGGAGCUUGCUCCUCUGACGUUAGCGGCGGACGGGUGAGUAACACGUGGAUAACCUACCUAUGAGACUGGGAUAACUUCGGGAAACCGGAGCUAAUACCGGAUAAUAUAUUGAACCGCAUGGUUCAAUAGUGAAAGACGGUUUUGCUGUCACUUAUAGAUGGAUCCGCGCCGCAUUAGCUAGUUGGUAAGGUAACGGCUUACCAAGGCAACGAUGCGUAGCCGACCUGAGAGGGUGAUCGGCCACCCUGGAACUGAGACACGGUCCAGACUCCUACGGGAGGCAGCAGUAGGGAAUCUUCCGCAAUGGGCGAAAGCCUGACGGAGCAACGCCGCGUGAGUGAUGAAGGUCUUCGGAUCGUAAAACUCUGUUAUUAGGGAAGAACAAAUGUGUAAGUAACUAUGCACGUCUUGACGGUACCUAAUCAGAAAGCCACGGCUAACUACGUG
Molecule: ribosomal RNA, 497 nt
Filed under: uncultured bacterium
Lineage: Bacteria
Description: partial 16S ribosomal RNA
Rfam family: Bacterial small subunit ribosomal RNA
Source: RNAcentral